UCAUAAAAAAUGUUUAUUAGGAAAAAUUUCAAUAUUUUUAACCUUUUAAAAGUAUAUCAAGAAGUAGUAAGUUAUACAAACAUCAAUAUUAAAUAACAAAAAUGAUGAAAAUAUCAUCUUUUGCAGUAACUUUUACUAUAAUGAUAUAUUUUGCUAUGGACACUCUAUCUGCUCCUGCAACAACUGUCCAAUUUCCAACACCCAGCAAUCAUAACGCUAGCGAAUUUCCAAUUCCUUUCCUACCGACAGUAACUAAAGAUCAUUGCGGUCCGAGCAUUAAUAUUUUAAUUAACGUCAAAUGCAAAAGCUAGAUAUAACAAAAGCUUUUAUGCAAAUGGGU
Molecule: long non-coding RNA, 340 nt
Organism: Papilio xuthus (Asian swallowtail)
Lineage: Eukaryota; Metazoa; Arthropoda; Insecta; Lepidoptera; Papilionidae
Exons: 9
Source: RefSeq, a predicted model, not a curated record